RNAcentral lists this ribosomal RNA (253 nucleotides) under uncultured bacterium. Its description in RNAcentral is "partial 16S ribosomal RNA". It matches the Rfam family "Bacterial small subunit ribosomal RNA", at positions 524 to 776 of the family's 1533-position model. The record is from RNAcentral.
UACGUAGGGUGCGAGCGUUGUCCGGAAUUAUUGGGCGUAAAGAGCUCGUAGGCGGUCUGUCGCGUCUGCUGUGAAAACCCGAGGCUCAACCUCGGGCCUGCAGUGGGUACGGGCAGACUAGAGUGCGGUAGGGGAGAAUGGAACUCCUGGUGUAGCGGUGGAAUGCGCAGAUAUCGGGAGGAACACCGGUGGCGAAGGCGGUUCUCUGGGCCUUACCUGACGCUGAGGAGCGAAAGCGUGGGGAGCGAACAGG